This is a long non-coding RNA of Poecilia latipinna (sailfin molly), 5644 nucleotides long. RefSeq lists it as uncharacterized. Lineage: Eukaryota; Metazoa; Chordata; Actinopteri; Cyprinodontiformes; Poeciliidae. The record is from RefSeq and is a predicted model, not a curated record. The transcript has 2 exons.
GUUUUUUUUUUUUUAAUAUGUGCCACUUUUCACAAAAGUUUAUUACAUAAGGAACUUUAGAUUGCGCGCACACACAGUAAACAGAAACUAAAAUUUAUACUGUUUUGAUGUUUAGUUAUCUUUAAUACUGGUAAACAGUAUCCAGUAUCUUAUGCAAACAUCAAAGAUUUUUGUUCUUCCUCUGUGUAAUUUGUGAGACUAUUAAAAUCCAUCAGAUUUAUCGGAUUUCCCCUUUAAGCUAGUUCCACAAUAAAAACAUAUCACAAUUGAUAUCACAGGAUAUUAUUUGAGAUCAAUAUAUGACUUUUAGUUCCUAACUUUAACCACCUUUUAAGCCCAUUAAGCUAGUAAAUUGGCAAAACUUUUGCUUUAAGUGUUUUUUAACACAGUAAUGGUGUAUUGAUAAUUUUGCUCUAACAUCUAAAAAGCCAUAAACUCCUCCUGGAUUGCCUUUAAGUCUGCUCCCUGAUUUGCAAAGAGAAGAACUCAUGAAGGAAUGCAAGACAAUAUGAAAUGCGUCAAUUAUUUGCAUAAAAGGUAAAAGUGUAAUAUGUUCAAGUGGCUCCCACUGCUUUCCAGCAAUGAAAAACUUCGAAAGCUAACGGAAGAAAAUUAGUCCCUCCCCUCCCACCCCCUCAUUAAGCUGCAGUAUUCACUAAAGCAAAUCUGAAAAUACAUUUAAGUGCUCAUGGCCUGAAGGGAAUUAGGAAAGUUGCAAUUUUUAAUUCUUCCCCAUCAGUGUCAGAACUUCUGCUCCAGAUUCAUGUUGCUCUUGGAGCUAUUUGAUGCUGCCGGAUGGAUGUUUCCAGUUUGCUUUUUGGGGAAGUAUACUCGGCUCUGGGUAAGCGGCAAAAACACAAGACCUGAGAAGAAAGCACAGAACCAAAACACGGGUGUUUUAAAGAUUAGCACGACAGUGAUGAAUGUACGAAUGAAUGGCUGAUUAAGCCGGAGUUUGACCGACGUCCCCGUAUUAUUCACUGCACCUGUUUGCACUGAAAUCGUUAUUAUGAGCGCAGACGAUGGCCGAGUUCACGUAAUUCUCAGAACAGCCAGUCCACCUUUAACCCAAGCAAAUUAGUGGCCAGAAGUGAAAACAAGUGUGUGUAGAGGUUUAAGAGAUCAGUCUGGUAGAGACUGAGAGCAAAUCUGUCUCAAGAAGCCAAAAGGAAAUGCUGAAGAGAAUGCUUUUUUUUUUUUUUUUUUUUUAACGUUACGUUGAAAGAAAAUACUAGGUCCAGUUAAUUUUGCAAAUCCUUAAAAGAAAAAUGUUUAACAUUUAAGCUUCUAACGUGUGACGGCAGCCUUUUCACUGCAGUUUUUGUGGUGACAUUUAUAGGACGUGUGAUGCUGAUUUAAUAGCCCAUCUGGCAUAUGCGAGAAAGACAUUCAGAAUACUAAGGCCUGUACAGUAGCAGAGAUAUAUUAACUGCUUUCAUCCAAAACAAAUAAACAGCUCUGAUUUCAGAUAUAUUUAGUCGAGAAGGGUUAUGAAAAGUGCAGCUUCUGCCUCAGUUUGCAUCUCUGAUGUGCACAUAUACUGAUCAGCUAUAAACGUAUGUUUAUAAAUUUUUGUAAAUGCAUUCAUGCCAUAUUAACCUUUUCACAAGAGAAAAAAAAUCACACCACACUUUACAGAUUUUCAUUGGGAAAAUUAAUAAAACAUGCAGCCGUUUCCUUACCCUUCACAAUUAUGCAUCAUUUAGUGUUGGUCUUUAACGUAAAAUGCAGCCACAUCCAAUAAAUUUGAUUGUUAUUGAAGAGUUAAUUUAUCUUGGUAACUCAAAUCUCUAAGAGAAGCACAUUACAUAAAUUAACAUGAAAGGCUCUUUGCCUUUUAUUACUUAUUGCUAAUACAAAACGACAUUUAAGAUUACACCUGAUCUAUGAGAGGGGUGGAAAAAAAAGCAAUUCACAAAUGUGGGUUUAACAAACAGCACGUCUAAUCCCUGCUUAAACAUUGUUAUUUUCUAUAGAUACUUUGAAUCUGACAAACUCGCCUCAUCCGAACUCACAUUCCGACUCAUUGGACGCGAUCGUCUAUCGGGCUCGUACCUUGACAAAGUUCAAAGGGGUACUUUUGGAGCGCGCAGCUAAGCAUGGAAACAAUCUGCAUUUGAAUUCACGAUCAUUGCUCUCAUGGUUUCAGUAGCGUAGUAUGUUUUUCUGCAAUUUCAGCCAGACACGAAGAAUAACUGGGCAAUAAAGGCCGGAGGAAAAAUAUCCCACAUCACCUAACACAUCUUCCUUUUCCAGCUUAGAAUAUUGCUCUUAUUGACAGUGACAGACUUAACUGGUCCCAGACUUUUCCAUCAAAGACACUUAUUUCUGCUGCUGCACAUGCACAGGACCCGGCAGCACAUAUAUUUGAAUUUACAGGCUGGACUCGAGAAAUGUGAGGGUGGUAUUAGUUGACAUAAUGAAAGCAGAGCAACUUUCUGAAAGGUUAUAUUCAUCUCUUGUUGUUCUUGUUGCCUGAAAUAUAUGGAGGUCAUCUUAAGGCUUCGACCAGAACAUGUGUCACGACUAUUAAAACGUCAUAUUGCGAUUGCGUGCAAGCAUUUAUCAAUGUGAGCAACACAUGCACGCACAUAAAGUCAAUUAGAGGGCCCGCAAUGCCAUUCUGAGAGCUUAAAACAAAGAGCGCAGUGAUUAUGAAGGGAAUAUCAACAGAUUUCAGCGGUGGAAAAAAAAAAAAAAAGGCUAAAAAUCCCGCGUAGCUGUCGCAGACGCCUGACCAGAAUAAUGAGUGGCCGAUGUCUGGGAGGCAGGUUGAGGCUAGGGCUGAUUUAAAAAACCGGUCGUGUUUAGGAUAUUGUCCUGAUCGAAACCAGAUGGUGCUAAAAAAACAUACUCGUUUUCAUUUUUCAUUGCGAACUCAUUGGGUAAAAGUCCUCCCAGUUUACGGCCGCACUCAUUGGAAGGAAGUUUAAGACCAUGUCAAGAUGCCAACAAUGAGUUUCUCAAUGAAAACUCAAAGUGUGGAGUUUACGAGGAGCUUGGCAGGGCAUCUAAAGCCCCCUCGACAAACCUAUAAAAUCUAACGAGAACGUGCUAAUUUAACUUGAUUCUCCACGAGACUUCGUCAUGCUAAAGAACGCGCUAUUAAAAGUGUUUUAAAUAAACGUCUGAAACCCGGUGCCCCUUGUUAACAUGUACGCCUGUGCUUGUACGGUGUUGGUCCCUCAGGACCAGGAAGAUGGUUUGGCAGGAGGGUAGGCGGGGUGGGGGGAAUCACGAGGAACAGGUCAACACGGGGAGUGGAGGGGAGAGAAGCCAGCCAAGACAGACGGAGGAGUCAAAAAGCAGCCCGUCGAAGUGCUUUGAAUCCGGUGGAAUUCCUCUCCUCCUCCGCGGCUCCUCUGGGAGGCGUCAGGAGCCUGUGGAGAGAGCGAGGUAAGACGGGGCCUGUCAGGAACAAAGCUCCAAAUUCACAUGAUAUGUUUAGCUAAAAGGGUGAAAGAGAAAUGAAUCAAAGCUUGGCGGGAUCAAAGAAGCGCAACAAUAAAGUCGAGGCGGUUGCCAUGGGACCAGCAGGAGAUGCAUAUCAUUUAUAAGUUGUUCUCCGGCUUUGUCAGAUGUGUGGGGGGAAUUGACUGUUAUUGUUUGGAGGGGUGAGGCGCCGCUGGAGGGGGUCAGGAGCAGGGGUCAUCGUCACGCAGCGAGAGGAAUAUAUCGUUCCGCUUGUUUUAAAACAGCGGUUGCCUGUGAUCGGUGUCGGGGGGCCACACCGGAAGCACCUUCAAGCCUUGUGAUAGCAGACAACAAGACAGGCACAACAACAACUCCGCUACACAGACCCCCCUCACCCCCCCCCGGCGAAUAUCGUAUCGCCACAGAACCAUUCGGGGCGGCUGAGCAUUUGCUUUCCGUGUUACAUCGUCAGGGCUUGUGAUCAGUCGUUUUGUAUGAAUGGAGAAUCAAAUAGAUGUUAACCGGAGAAUUAGAUUUUUGACUUACAGUUGUAACAACGGAUGUGAGAGCCGCGUUCAAAAAUAGCCGUGGUGAGGAUGGCGUCUCUGUGAGCAGAUUUAAUCCUCGUAUUUUUAAAAUAGACAUUUAAUUAAAUGCAAGGAUAAGCCGCAAAUAUUUACAGAUGACCUGAAUCUAAACGAUUCAUCAGUAGGACUACACCAUAUUAGAUGACGAAAGUCUUUUACAUGUUUAACUUUCUGUUUGAUAUAAAUUUUUGUCCAUUAUUACAUAAGUGUCUGGGAACUGAUCAGACCCGUGGUUUUGAAAAUGAAACAUUUUCCAGGUUUCGCUUGGUUUGGGGUAUUGUGUAUUUUUUUUGCAUGCUGGAUCCAUCAGAUCUGGACACAAGGCUGUAUAAGUAGCACCUGGACUAUUUAACUCUGAGCCAAGCUGUUGUACAAUACGCUUUAGGUAUUGUCUUGCAAAAAAAAAAAAAUCAUACAUGCCUGGUUAAUAGUUUAUUGAUGUUUUCACAGAUGUGAAAGUUACCAGUUCUUUCUGCGCAUAACAAAAACACACUCAAAAUCACAGAUGCUGACAAAAAGCCAGAUGAUCCCUUUUUCUCAUCAAGGAGUUUCCAGCACCUUUUAUACCCAUUUAUUUUGCACCAGAUAAAUCCUGUUCAAUGUUUUACAGUGGCUUUCAGCUUAGAGAAUGUUGAACUUUUAUCUUGCAUUUCCGGAUGGAUCUCGUGGUUCGUUCCUUAUAGAUUUUCUUCCAACGUUUUCUUGAAUCUUUUGCGUACCACAGAUCAAGUGUGCUUCAAACGGUAAAAGAUCGGUGUUGCAUUUCUACUAUUGUUCCUCAGUUGGCAAUUUCGUGGGGUCCUCACAAAAUAUCUGGAGUUUGACUUUGCAUAUGUGUGGCGAAAAGCUUAGAGAAAAGUAGAUGAGAUGAACCGAGAGAAUCAUAUUGAACCCUUGCCUUAAAAAAAAACAGUCUUCUUCUUCAAAAGAUAAAAAAAUUAGUCAAUGCAAUUGACAUGAGCAUAAGCAUCCCAACAUUAUCUUCUUUUCCUUGGUGUCUGUUACACUCCUCUGUGUCUGUAAUGUGCACCCAUGUAAUGAUGGAACCCACUCGUCUGCUCUUUCAGACUGCACCCAUGAGGAAUCCUAAAAUAACAACAAAGCGCCCUCAGUCGGUUUGAUAAAAGCUCAGUCACCAACCAUUUCGGCUCAGAGAGUUUCCGGCCCGACUGCAUCGCUGAACGACAAGUCACAGAAAGAGACAGAAAGGGAUGUUCACAAGCGAUGAGUCAAUCGGCAGGAAGGAUGUCAAACUGUGAAAGAGACGGUGUGGAGACAACAUCCUGGUUCUCUGUGAGAAAAACAAGGAAGAGGACGAUCAACUCCAGAAGGUCAUGACCUGAAUGCAAGUCCUUCACGUUAAGCAACCGUUCAAUACAGAAGGAAGCUAACACAACCGUCGCUUCGGACACUUCUUUUUUUUUUUUUUUUUGCAGAUUUGUUGUGGAGUGUGUUGAAGUACCGCUUCUCAGUGUGGAGCUCCAGCUGCACUAUCCCAUGCAACAGGGCCCUGCAGAGGAUGUUCCAGUGAUUGGUCAGAAACAGUCUCUUCAACAUGGUCUACCUGAAGCUACCUGGCAACAUCAAGUGAACAAAACUGCAGCAGUCAAGCCCCAAACUGCUACGCAGCUUAUUUAUUUGCA